AGAUUAAGCCAUGCAUGUCUAAGUAUAAAUAAAUUUAUAUUGUGAAACUGCGAAUGGCUCAUUAAAUCAGUUAUGAUCUACGUGACAUAUUCUUUACUACUUGGAUAACCGUGGUAAUUCUAGAGCUAAUACAUGCAAAACCCAAACUUACGAAUGGGUGCACUUAUUAGAUAAAGCCAACGCUGGGUAAACCAGUUUCCCUUGGUGAUUCAUAAUAAUUAAGCGGAUCGCAU
This 233-nucleotide ribosomal RNA is filed under the name uncultured fungus. RNAcentral describes it as "partial 18S ribosomal RNA". It matches the Rfam family "Eukaryotic small subunit ribosomal RNA", at positions 41 to 274 of the family's 1831-position model. Lineage: Eukaryota; Fungi. The record is from RNAcentral.